Molecule: unclassified non-coding RNA, 465 nt
Filed under: uncultured Plectosphaerella
Lineage: Eukaryota; Fungi; Ascomycota; Sordariomycetes; Glomerellales; Plectosphaerellaceae
Description: sequence contains ITS1, 5.8S rRNA gene, ITS2
Rfam family: 5.8S ribosomal RNA (bases 140-293)
Source: RNAcentral
CUGAGUACUACACUCUCUACCCUUUGUGAACUAUUAUACCUGUUGCUUCGGCGGCGCCCGCAAGGGUGCCCGCCGGUCUCAUCAGAAUCUCUGUUUUCGAACCCGACGAUACUUCUGAGUGUUCUUAGCGAACUGUCAAAACUUUUAACAACGGAUCUCUUGGCUCCAGCAUCGAUGAAGAACGCAGCGAAACGCGAUAUGUAAUGUGAAUUGCAGAAUUCAGUGAAUCAUCGAAUCUUUGAACGCACAUGGCGCCUUCCAGUAUCCUGGGAGGCAUGCCUGUCCGAGCGUCGUUUCAACCCUCGAGCCCCUGUGGCCCGGCGUUGGGGAUCUGCCACGGCAGGCCCCUAAAACCAGUGGCGGACCCGAAGGCCCUCUCCUUUGCGCAGUAGCAUCAGCCUCGCAUUGGGAUCCCUCGGCGUCCUGCCUCUAAACCCCCCACAAGUCCGCUCCGGCGGCACCAAG